GGGGAAUUAGCUCAGCUGGUUAGAGCGCCUGGUUUGCAACCAGGAGGUCGUGGGUUCGAAUCCCAUAUUCUCCA
Molecule: transfer RNA, 74 nt
Filed under: bacterium
Lineage: Bacteria
Description: tRNA-Ala
Rfam family: tRNA
About the family: Transfer RNA (tRNA) molecules are approximately 80 nucleotides in length. Their secondary structure includes four short double-helical elements and three loops (D, anti-codon, and T loops).
Source: RNAcentral